CAGCCGCCGCGGUAAUACGAAGGGGGCUAGCGUUGUUCGGAAUUACUGGGCGUAAAGCGCACGUAGGCGGAUAUUUAAGUCAGGGGUGAAAUCCCAGAGCUCAACUCUGGAACUGCCUUUGAUACUGGGUAUCUUGAGUAUGGAAGAGGUGAGUGGAAUUCCGAGUGUAGAGGUGAAAUUCGUAGAUAUUCGGAGGAACACCAGUGGCGAAGGCGGCUCACUGGUCCAUUACUGACGCAGAGGUGCGAAAGCGUGGGGAGCAAACAGGAUUAGAUACCCCCGUAGUCCCUGUCUCUUAUAC
Molecule: ribosomal RNA, 301 nt
Filed under: uncultured bacterium
Lineage: Bacteria
Description: partial 16S ribosomal RNA
Rfam family: Bacterial small subunit ribosomal RNA
Source: RNAcentral